This 266-nucleotide long non-coding RNA is filed under the name Elaeis guineensis (African oil palm). Its description in RNAcentral is "long non-coding RNA (EGUI_LNC032831)". Lineage: Eukaryota; Viridiplantae; Streptophyta; Magnoliopsida; Arecales; Arecaceae. The record is from RNAcentral.
GGGGUAGUUGCUCUCUGAUCUCCAUGAGCACCUAAAUUUUGGAUGCAUUUAGAGGAGUAUAAUUAGUAAACCUCCUCUAUAAAGAUCGAUGCCUUGGUGAUAGGUGAUGCUAUCCCUAGGGCUUCCAGGUUGUCGACCCCGAGGAGGGGUUCUAGAUCUUCACUGAUGAGAUGGAGUUCUGGACCAUUGCUGAUCCCUUAAGAGAUUUCCUUAGAUCAGAGGGAGUUUAAGGUCUCCCUUUUUCUCUUUGGUUAUGGGGUCGAUCG